AUUAUUUUUUCUGUGAUGGCUGUUAUCAUUGGAAUUAUCCUAAUAAGUGCUAAGCUUAUUGGCCUGCUGAUAAAGAGAAAUCCAACUCUUGGAACAAGCGAUCCUUUAACUUCUGUAAAAAUAGGAGAAACAGUAUAGUAAUCGAUGAGAAUCUGUUCACCAAGCCAAGUUUUGGAAGAACUCAAAGACAAGACUUCAGUCAAG
Molecule: long non-coding RNA, 204 nt
Organism: Balaenoptera musculus (blue whale)
Lineage: Eukaryota; Metazoa; Chordata; Mammalia; Artiodactyla; Balaenopteridae
Exons: 3
Source: RefSeq, a predicted model, not a curated record